Molecule: ribosomal RNA, 803 nt
Filed under: uncultured Verrucomicrobiota bacterium
Lineage: Bacteria; Pseudomonadati; Verrucomicrobiota
Description: bacterial SSU rRNA
Rfam family: Bacterial small subunit ribosomal RNA
Source: RNAcentral
CAAGUCGAACGCUGAUCAUGGGGUAGCAAUAUUCCAUGGUCGGAGUGGCGCAAGGGUGCGUAACACGUGGGCAAUUUGCCAUGAAGCCCGGAAUAACCCCGAGAAAUCGGAGCUAAUACCGGAUGUGACUCCUGGGGGGCAACCUCUGGGAUUUAAAGCUGGGGACCGUAAGGCCUGGCACUUCUUGAUAAGCCCGCGGCCUAUCAGCUAGUUGGUGAGGUAACGGCUCACCAAGGCUAAGACGGGUAGCUGGUCUGAGAGGACGACCAGCCACACUGGAACUGAGACACGGUCCAGACACCUACGGGUGGCAGCAGUCGAGAAUUUUUCACAAUGGGCGCAAGCCUGAUGGAGCGACGCCGCGUGGGGGAUGAAUGGCUUCGGCCCGUAAACCCCUGUCAUUUGCGAACAAACCUCGCUAUUUAAAAGAUGGCGAGCUGAUUGUAGCGAAAGAGGAAGGGACGGCUAACUCUGUGCCAGCAGCCGCGGUAAUACAGAGGUCCCAAGCGUUGUUCGGAUUCACUGGGCGUAAAGGGUGCGUAGGUGGUCGGGUCAGUCUGAGGUGAAAUCUCCGAGCUUAACUCGGAAACUGCCUUGGAUACUAUCCGGCUGGAGGGUUGGAGGGGGGACUGGAAUUCUCGGUGUACCAGUGAAAUGCGUAGAUAUCGAGAGGAACACCAGUGGCGAAGGCGAGUCCCUGGACAACUCCUGACACUGAGGCACGAAAGCUAGGGGAGCAAACAGGAUUAGAUACCCUGGUAGUCCUAGCCGUAAACGGUGCACGUUUGCUGUAAGAAGAAUCG